AUAUGUAACAUGCGUGACAAUAAUCAAUGAAUAUCCAGUAUCAAAUGAUAUGAAAUACAAUGGAAUGGGUAUACACAUUUCAAUGGCUAAACAGCAUUUUCUGUCAAGACUUACACGAUUUAUGAGGUAUCCUUACAGACACAGAAAGCGAAGCUUUUCACAGCGAAGGGCCAUAAAACCCUGGCUAACAGUUAGAUCAACUGAAUAAC
Molecule: non-coding RNA, 209 nt
Organism: Pelobates cultripes (western spadefoot toad)
Lineage: Eukaryota; Metazoa; Chordata; Amphibia; Anura; Pelobatidae
Source: the annotation of a GenBank genome assembly